RNAcentral lists this ribosomal RNA (252 nucleotides) under uncultured bacterium. RNAcentral's name for it is "partial 16S ribosomal RNA". It matches the Rfam family "Bacterial small subunit ribosomal RNA", at positions 524 to 775 of the family's 1533-position model. The record is from RNAcentral.
UACGAAGGGUGCGAGCGUUGUUCGGAAUGACUGGGCGUAAAGGGUUCGUAGGCGGGAAGGUAAGUUAAGUGUGAAAUCCCUGGGCUCAACCUAGGACGUGCAUUUAAAACUGCUUUUCUUGAGUGUUGGAGAGGGCAGUGGAAUUGCUGGUGUAGGAGUGACAUCCGUAGAGAUCAGCAGGAACACCUGAGGCGAAGGCGACUGCCUGGCCAAACACUGACGCUGAGGAACGAAAGCGUGGGGAGCAAACAG